UCUUAUCCUAACAACCUACCCAAUUAAAAUAAACCACAUCAUACCCUGCCCCUACCCCUACCCCCACCUCACUACCCCACCUACCCUUCCCCACUACCACAUAAUUCUCAUUCUGACCAGAAAACCAUCAACACACCUCACAGCAUACAUACACACACAAUAUCCACGCACAGGACCAGAAUAUUCACGCAUCAUCCUCAUCGGAACUCCAUUCUUCACACACAUCUAUCACCGAACAUACAAACCCAAUAAUAAAAAAAUGAUAGAAUUUAGGGAGGAAGAGAAUCGGAACGGAGAGCAACACAGUGAAGAAAAAGAGCGAAAUCGAGGAACUGAAAUAGAGAAGUAAAUCGAAAGGGAGAAAGAGAUCGAGGGAGGGAGAACAAAAGGAGGAUCAUCUUCUUCCUUUUUCCAAGGAAGAAGCUCCAUUUUUGGGUUUCAUUUUUGAUUCAUCAAGAACAAUACACACACACUACAUAGUAAAGGAGGGAAAGGAAAUUUGAACGAGAGUGAAUCGAGAGAAGAUAAACAAAGAGAGGGAUGACAGGAAAAUGAUGUGAGAGAUAGAGAUCGGGGUGACCGAAGAAGGAGAAAUUGAGACAGAUCGAAGAAAGAGAGAGUGAAAAUAAGAAGAGAGAGAGAGAACUGGUGGUGGUAGACUGUUCCGGCGAUUCGCCGCCGGAAAAAGUGUCAUCGCAGCUCAAAAUUUGAUCCAAUUUUUUUAGUUCUAUUCCUUCUGAUCUCGUCAGAGUUCGUCAGCUCCGUCCCAUUUCGGGUAACGCUGAAACGGACGACCCAGGUCAUAAAUCCCAAAAUUUUCCAAUUUUUUUGGUGGUUUCUAGGCUAACCCGGCCGGAAAACACUAGAAGUCACCGGAAUCAGCCUUUCUCGUUGACAUUCGCGACUGUUCGAGUUCAUCAAAACUCCGGGCAUGUAGUUUUCUUGGUUUUCUUGUGAUUCUCAUUUUUUUGGGUUCACUGUUCGUCGUGGUUUCAGGAAUUCGAAUUGGAUUUUGAAGACUAUCAGGUUGGAGUUGGAUCAUAGUUGAGAUUGUGGUAUUCUUCGAGGCUCCAGGACGGCUCUUAUUUCUCUUCUUAAAUCAAUCAAAAUCUUUUGAGGUCUAAUUCUAUUCUUUUCCUCUUUUAUUUCUCAUUGUUUACUAUAUUUGAUGUGUUGGACUUAAUAUCGUGUGUUGACUUGAUCCCUGUUGGUGAUGAAUGUAUGUUUGUUUUGAUUCUUGGUUGGUCCCUUGAUUAUGGUUUGUAUGGUGAAAUGGUCUCUCGUUUGAGAAAUAAAAUUUGUUAUUUGGGGCGCGAAUUGAAAAAAUUGCUAAAGUGAAUUAGGAUUAAUUUUGAUUUAUUGUUGUUUUGAUUCAUGGACGCCGUCGAUCGUGAUAGUGCCAUGAUAGGUCAAGUUGGGUAGGCAAACAGUAGGCUUGGGUAGGCAAAGUUUAGUAUCUGUGAUUGUUGAAUGAUGAAAUAUUUGUGGAGUGGUUUUGAUUUAUGCAUUGAGAUCUAUUGUAUUCAUUUGGCCGGGGAAUGUCCUGAGAGAUUUGUAUUCAUUUAUCCGAGGAAUGCCCCGAAGUAUCAUGUGCUUGAAGACGGCGCACGAUCAAGGCCCGGAACGUUGGGUGGAGAAAGCAAUGGAGCGUAGUUAGGAUUAGCCUAGAAUAGAGUAGGUUUAUAUUUCCGUAUCUUUUUAUUUCGAGACUGUAUAAUUGGACUGAACACUAAAUUUUGGAUUGUUUUAUUUUGUUUUGCUUGAUUGAUUGUUUUGUGUGCCUUGUGUGGUUUAUACAUUCGUAGUGUCAAAUUAGCCGAUAUGCUCCACCAAACGACCGUAGUCUAACCACGGGAUCAAGGGGUGCCUAACACCUUCCCCUCAGUCAACAGAAUUCCUUAGUCGGAAUCUCCGUUCGCAAAUUAGUUUUACAGAGUCGAAAUUAUUUUUGAAAAAGGAUGUCCAUAGGUGACUUGGCACACCCGAUUUAUGCUAAGUGGCGACUCUGAGUUUUGAGUGUAAAUAAUCCUUUUCGAAAAUAAUUUUCAUCUUUCGUCACUUUAAUAAUAAAACCCUUUCGAACCAUGAAAUUAAUCUUUUGGAGUACGAAAAAGGGGUGUGACACUACUAUAUUUUGAAUUUAAUAUUCCGAAUUUUGUACGGAUUUAAAUUUAAUAAAAUUGCAUCGCCCACAAAUGCCUUCUACUUCAAGACUUGUCGACACAUUUAAUAUUUUGGAGACUAGCCUUGAAGUAUGAUUAUUUAAGCAUGUUUCCUUUGUGUUUCAACGAUCCUCAUACCUAUGAAUACCACAUUCAAAAAUUUAAAGUCGAACUAUAUUGAUAUUGCCUCUCAUAACUCUCUCAUUUUUUCUACGAAUCUCUACACUUAAGACCCAUUGGUGAGGCAUGAUAUUCAAUUUCAAACAGAUUUUCGAAGACUUUUUUAUCGCCUUACUUAAUCAUGAAUAAAAAUCUUCCGAUUUGAACUUAGAUUGGAGAAGGAAACAACCUCCAAUUUGGCUUUGUAUGGGAGAAAGAAACAAUCUUUGAUUUGAAUUUGUAUGGAAGAAGGAAAUAACCCCCAAUUUGAAUUUGUAUGGGAAAAGAAAANNNNNNNNNNNNNNNNNNNNNNNNNNNNNNNNNNNNNNNNNNNNNNNNNNNNNNNNNNNNNNNNNCAUCGCCCACAAAUGCCCCCUACUUCAAGACUUGUCGAGACAUUUAAUAUUUUGGAGACUAGCCUUGAAGUAUAAUUAUUUAAGCAUGUUUCCUUCAUGUUUCAACGAUCCUUAUAUCUAUAAAUACCACAUUCAAAAAUUUAAAGCCGAACCAUAUUGAUAUUGCCUCUCAUAACUCUCUCAUUUUUUCUACGAAUCUCUACACUUAAGACCCAUUGGUGAGGCAUGAUAUUCAAUUUCAAACAGAUUUUCGAAGACUUUUUUAUCGCCUUACUUAAUCAUGAAUAAAAAUCUUCCGAUUUGAACUUAGAUUGGAGAAGGAAACAACCUCCAAUUUGGCUUUGUAUGGGAGAAAGAAACAAUCUUUGAUUUGAAUUUGUAUGGAAGAAGGAAAUAACCCCCAAUUUGAAUUUGUAUGGGAAAAGAAAAAAAUCCCCAAUUUGAAUUUGUAUGGGAAAAGAAAACAAUCUCUAAUUUGAAUUUAGGGAUAGAAAUUAUUUCAAUCUGAAUUUAAAUUGGAGAAGAAAACAAUCUCCAAUUUGAAUUUAGAGAUGAAAACUAUUCCAAUCUGAAUUUAUAUUGGAGAAGGAAACAAUCUCCAAUUUGAAUUUGGAGAUGGAAAUUAUUCCAAUCUGAAUUUAUAUUGAAAAAGGAAACAAUCUCCAAUUUGAAUUUGGAGAUUGAAAUUAUUCCAAUCUGAAUUUAUAUUGGAGAAGGAAACAUCCAUCCUACAAAUCUAUAAAAGGAGGUAGUUUCUCUACUUUUUCAAUAUCAAUUUUGGGGUUUUCAAGCCAUCAACAAUAUUGAGGUAAUUUCUUUUCCUCCUACUUUUCUCUUAUUUUCGUCACUUUUUUUUCAGCACAGCAUGUUGGUGGUAGAAAAUUCAUAUCUAAUUGUAGGAAUAUCGAAAUCAUGAACCGUUUGAUAUUACAGAAACUAGACUUCAAGAUAUAUAACAUAUCCAAAAUUCAGCUUCAAAUUCUUUCAAUAUAAUUCUCGAUAAUUUUUUGAAGUUAGCCCUGAAUUUUAUCAUGAUAAAAAUUUCAGAUCUGCGUGACUUUACUAAACCUUUCAUAUCUUGAAGUAGAAAAGAUGAAAUCACAAGCUGCUUAAUUCUUGUGAAACUAGACACAAAGAUCUAUAAUAUAUCCAAAAUUCAUAAUUUAAUACAAUUGAAAUAUUUUCAGGUGUUAUCCCAAAAUUAACAUUGAGUUUUGAUGCAUCAACAAUUUCAGAUUUACGCGACAUCAUCAAAAAAAUUAUAUCUCAAUGUGAGAGUAUUGAAAUUAUGAUCCGCUUAAUCCUACAGAUGCCGGAAACAUGCAUGUAUAACAUAUCAAAAAUUUAGAUUUUAACACCUUUUUUAUUGGUCUAGAUGAUUUUUUUGAUGUCCAUCUUGACAGAGGAUUCCAGAUUUGCAUUGCCUCACCAAAUAAUUUAUUUCUUGAUGUGGGACCAUCACCACCAAAGGGCGUUUUUAUUUCCUCAAACCAGAUUUUGAGGAAUUUAUUCUCAUCAAGGCAUCUUAUCUCAAUCGAAGUUGGUGAUAUACAACUUUUAAGAUCACAACGCUUUGAUAG
RNAcentral lists this long non-coding RNA (4257 nucleotides) under Capsicum annuum. Its description in RNAcentral is "long non-coding RNA (CANN_LNC000211)". Lineage: Eukaryota; Viridiplantae; Streptophyta; Magnoliopsida; Solanales; Solanaceae. The record is from RNAcentral.